UCCUCAAUAGCUCAUAUGGUAGAGCAUCUGACUGUUAAUCAGAAGGUAGCUGGUUCGAAUCCAGCUUGAGGAG
This 73-nucleotide transfer RNA is filed under the name Candidatus Shikimatogenerans bostrichidophilus. Its description in RNAcentral is "tRNA-Asn". It matches the Rfam family "tRNA". Rfam says of the family: Transfer RNA (tRNA) molecules are approximately 80 nucleotides in length. Their secondary structure includes four short double-helical elements and three loops (D, anti-codon, and T loops). Lineage: Bacteria; Pseudomonadati; Bacteroidota; Flavobacteriia; Flavobacteriales. The record is from RNAcentral.